AGUGAACGCUGGCGGUAGGCCUAACACAUGCAAGUCGAACGGCAGCACAGUAAGAGCUUGCUCUUACGGGUGGCGAGUGGCGGACGGGUGAGGAAUACAUCGGAAUCUACUUUUUCGUGGGGGAUAACGUAGGGAAACUUACGCUAAUACCGCAUACGACCUACGGGUGAAAGCAGGGGAUCUUCGGACCUUGCGCGAUUGAAUGAGCCGAUGUCGGAUUAGCUAGUUGGCGGGGUAAAGGCCCACCAAGGCGACGAUCCGUAGCUGGUCUGAGAGGAUGAGCAGCCAAACUGGAACUGAGACACGGUCCAGACUCCUACGGGAGGCAGCAGUGGGGAAUAUUGGACAAUGGGCGCAAGCAUGAUCCAGCCAUACCGCGUGGGUGAAGAAGGCCUUCGGGUUGUAAAGCCCUUUUGUUGGGAAAGAAAAGCAGCAGGUUAAUACCCCGCUGUUCUGACGGUACCCAAAGAAUAAGCACCGGCUAACUUC
Molecule: ribosomal RNA, 489 nt
Filed under: uncultured bacterium
Lineage: Bacteria
Description: partial 16S ribosomal RNA
Rfam family: Bacterial small subunit ribosomal RNA
Source: RNAcentral